RNAcentral lists this ribosomal RNA (319 nucleotides) under uncultured eukaryote. Its description in RNAcentral is "partial 18S ribosomal RNA". It matches the Rfam family "Eukaryotic small subunit ribosomal RNA", at positions 1470 to 1796 of the family's 1831-position model. The record is from RNAcentral.
CCCUUAGAUGUUCUGGGCAGCACGCGCGCUACAAUGGUCUUCGCAAACGGAUGCAUUCUCGAAGGAGAAUGCCAAUCUUGGAAUCUAUGCCUUGGUCGGGACAGUUGCUUGCAAUUUUUCGACUCGAACCAGGAAUUCCUUGUAAUCGUGAUUCAUCACAUCACGAUGAAUACGUCCCCGCCCUUUGUACACACCGCCCGUCGCUCCUACCGAUCGAAGAGUUAGGUGAAUUGUCUUGAUCGAUAAGAUUUGACUAUGGUCAACUCUCGUUGUGAAAUUCUGUGAAUCUGACUGUUUAGAGGAAGGAAAAAUCGUAACA